UAUGACAGCAUGCACAGGGAGAAGUCCACACAGGCUCCCAUCCCCAACCAAGAAGCUAUUGGCAAUUAACAACCACUUGCAAAGGAAAAAUUAGUUUCCUCAAGGGAGUCUCGUGGUAUAUGCAAACCACUAAAGGGCAAGAUCUGAGUUUGGCAGUAAAUGAUGGUAGGAGUCUACAGGUGAUGACCCCCACGGACCCCAGCAGAGAACAUUCAGAACCGAUGAACUCGAUAAAAUUACAGGAUUCAAAGAAA
Molecule: long non-coding RNA, 254 nt
Organism: Mastomys coucha (southern multimammate mouse)
Lineage: Eukaryota; Metazoa; Chordata; Mammalia; Rodentia; Muridae
Exons: 2
Source: RefSeq, a predicted model, not a curated record